This 253-nucleotide ribosomal RNA is filed under the name uncultured bacterium. RNAcentral describes it as "partial 16S ribosomal RNA". It matches the Rfam family "Bacterial small subunit ribosomal RNA", at positions 524 to 776 of the family's 1533-position model. The record is from RNAcentral.
GACAGAGGGUGCGAACGUUGUUCGGAAUUACUGGGCGUAAAGCGCGUGUAGGCGGCAACGCAAGUCGGGCGUGAAAUCCCACGGCUCAACCGUGGAAGUGCACUCGAAACUGCGUAGCUAGAGUCCUGGAGAGGAAGGUGGAAUGCUUGGUGUAGAGGUGAAAUUCGUAGAUAUCAAGCGGAACACCGGUGGCGAAGGCGGCCGUCUGGACAGUGACUGACGCUGAGACGCGAAAGCGUGGGGAGCAAACGGG